Molecule: ribosomal RNA, 261 nt
Filed under: uncultured prokaryote
Description: partial 16S ribosomal RNA
Rfam family: Bacterial small subunit ribosomal RNA
Source: RNAcentral
UACGGAGGAUCCGAGCGUUAUCCGGAUUUAUUGGGUUUAAAGGGUGCGUAGGUGGAUUGGUAAGUCAGUGGUGAAAGUUUGCAGCUUAACUGUAAAAUUGCCGUUGAAACUGCCGAUCUUGAGUGCAAAUGAGGUAGGCGGAAUGCGUCGUGUAGCGGUGAAAUGCUUAGAUAUGACGCAGAACUCCGAUUGCGAAGGCAGCUUACUGGGAUGCAACUGACGCUGAGGCACGAAAGCGUGGGUAUCAAACAGGAUUAGAUA